CAUCGGGCUAAUAAUGCUAGCCAGACCCUCCUGGGACUCUGCUGUUAGUUAUGAAAAAAGCAAUCCUGUUCUCCUAAUCUUCAGUAUGCUCUAUAGUCAGGGGUUUUGAAAGUAAGUUUAAAAAGUAAAAGAUUAUUUUGGCUAGCACUUCCCUGGUGGUAUAGCGGGUAGGAAUCUGCCUGCCAAAGUAUGGGACACGGUUUGGUCCCUGGUUUGGGAGGAUCCCACGUGUCGCGGGGCAGCUAAAGCUAUGCACACAGCGACUGAUCCCGCGCCCUAGAGUCCGGCAACGAGAGAAGCUGCUGCUUCGGAACCCUGCACCCUGCAAUGAGAGAGUAGCCCCCCUUGCUGCAACUAGAGAAAGACCCAGUGCCACUGCAGACACAUAAAUUACUUAAAAUAUAUUUUAAAAAGAUGAUAUUGGCUAGCAGUUCGGAAAAAAGUUUUCAAGAGGGCUCUGACACUCUCUUCUGAAGUAUUUUGAGGCUGUUCAGUUCAGUCGCUCAGUCGUGUCUUACUCUUUGCGAGUGAGGCUGUUACAAAGAAAAAAACUAUUUUAAAAUUUGAGAUGCGUAUGAGACACAGCGCAGCUGGGUUGAGGUGGGUGCCAAGUCUUGCGGACCCCUUUAAUUCAUUCCGAGACAUGGCAUUAACCUUGGCUUUGCUAAAUAAUACCUUUAAACAGGACGUGAAUCACUGUGGUCAUUACGCUGGUGUCGUUCGUCAUCACGCUGAGUCCUGAGUGCUCAAGGUUUUGAGUAAUAACUGUAUAGUCACUGAUGACGGAGACCAAGUUUACAUGUGUGUUUUAUUCAUGAUUUUCUGUCAAAUGUCAAAAUCCGAGAGGAGCCCUGAGCAUCCCGGGAAGGGUCGGCGAGCACACGCAGAUUCUCGGAGGGCCACACCGUGUCCUUGGAGGGUGGAGGUCACCAAGAAGAGAAUGAGGCCGGGAUACCCAAACCCAGAGGGGAGGUCGGCUUCAGCCUUCUAGAAGACAGGAGAGAAGGAAAGCGCGUGCGUGCGUGCACGUCCACCUGGGGUCCGUACUGCUUCUUCCGCUGGUAGCUGUGGCGCCUUCAGCGUAAGACGGGAGUCUUCUGGGCCCCGAGUCUCUCAUCUGUGGAGCGGGGCUGAGACCGCGGCGCCUGUCUCUUGGGUGAGCUGGUGAGGAUAAAAUACUACAAGCUGCGGGAAUGACAUGCUACCUGAGAGCUGUGAGAGUAACAAAGCAAAGAUAAAACUCAAACUCAGUGAGAACAAAAAGCAGACUGAGAGGGCUUCUUGUCCUCCAGGCAGACGGAGCCAUCAGGCUGUAUGUCGAGCGAUGUUAAAGAGUGGGACACGACUGAGCGACUGAGCAUGCUCAUACACGUUCAGAGCAGCAGAGAGGCAGCAGAGGAGGCUGGGCUGCAACAGCAUUCACAGGACCGGAUGACAUCGCUGUGAACCAAGCCAGUGAUCAGACCACAGGCUCCAGACUGUCACCUGCCCAAAAGUCAGCUCCGGGAGGAUUUGCCAGAUCAACACGGGGGUGUCAAAGCAUCAUGCUUCUGUUGCAAAUGUCACCUUUCCCACUGAUUAACUUUGAAAUCCAAGCAUUCUCAGCUGCAGGGAAAGGUUGAUGGAGGUUAUUCAUUUAUUUUUAAAAAUUCUUUCAAUACACAGCCAAUUUUGAACUAAAAAUCAGAAUUAUCCUUCUGAAUCUCGCAUUCUAAUGCUCCUCCCGGAUCGCCCACUUUCUUCCACGCUGCAGAUUUCUUUGGUCAUCGCACAAAACCUGAGGCCGUGCUGCUGGAUGUGUGGUGUGCUCGGGCGUGGGUGCAUGGGGGGCCUUCAGGGUCAGGAUUUUUGUGUGCACGCGUUUUUUCCCCAGGAAGAAGGUCCAGGGCUUUCAAAACUUCCUCUCCAGGGGAUCUCUGAGGUCCCUUCCCCUCGUGUAAAAGCACAAAUAGAGAGCAUGUGACGUGGUUCUGCAUGGAGGUGUCGUUUCUGGUAAGGCCGAGAGGUGGCAGGGUAACCACCAGCCUGCAGCGGCCCCAUUUUCCCGACCGGAGAGAAGCCCCGUGAAAGGAGAUCCUGUCUGUAACCUCGCUUCCUCUUGCACAGACUGUGGAUACAGGGCCCAUCAAACCGCCCUGAAACAUCCCUGGAGGGGGAGAGCAAGGCUGAAGGGGCAGCCUGGGGUUUUAAAGGUCACAAACAUCCAGAGACAACGUUUGGUAAGUGUUUCUGGGGGCGUUGAGCACCACGCCAGAAAUGCACAGAGCUCAAUCAUUGGCAGAAUCAAAAGCACUUAUAAAACCGAUGAUAAUUUCCCAAGCUAUGAUUAACACUUGGUUUUACCACAAAGUAUCACUGUUCAAAGAC
This is a long non-coding RNA of Bos taurus (domestic cattle), 2367 nucleotides long. Lineage: Eukaryota; Metazoa; Chordata; Mammalia; Artiodactyla; Bovidae. The record is from Ensembl.